RNAcentral lists this ribosomal RNA (494 nucleotides) under uncultured bacterium. RNAcentral describes it as "partial 16S ribosomal RNA". It matches the Rfam family "Bacterial small subunit ribosomal RNA", at positions 28 to 507 of the family's 1533-position model. The record is from RNAcentral.
GACGAACGCUGGCGGCGUGCUUAACACAUGCAAGUCGAACGGAAAGGCCUGCUUUCCCUUGUGGAUUGCGGGUACUCGAGUGGCGAACGGGUGAGUAACACGUGAGUGAUCUGCCCCCAACUUGGGUAUAAGCCUGGGAAACUGGGUCUAAUUCCCGAUAGGACUGCAGGGUGGUGCCUGUGGUGGAAAACGAUUUUCUAGUGGUUGGGGAUGAGCUCGCGGCCUAUCAGCUUGUUGGUGGGGUAAUGGCCUACCAAGGCGGCGACGGGUAGCCGGCCUGAGAGGGUGGACGGCCACAUUGGGACUGAGAUACGGCCCAGACUCCUACGGGAGGCAGCAGUGGGGAAUAUUGCACAAUGGGCGGAAUCCUGAUGCAGCGACGCCGCGUGGGGGAUGACGGCCUUCGGGUUGUAAACUCCUUUCGACCGCGAGGAAGCCACCUGGUUGGAAGGGUGGUGACGGUAGUGGUAGAAGAAGCACCGGCUAACUACGUG